This 71-nucleotide transfer RNA is filed under the name Flavobacteriales bacterium. RNAcentral describes it as "tRNA-Gln". It matches the Rfam family "tRNA". From Rfam's summary of the family: Transfer RNA (tRNA) molecules are approximately 80 nucleotides in length. The record is from RNAcentral. Lineage: Bacteria; Pseudomonadati; Bacteroidota; Flavobacteriia; Flavobacteriales.
UGCCCCAUGGUGUAAUGGCAACACAUCUGCUUUUGGUGCAGACGUUUCAGGUUCGAGUCCUGGUGGGGCAA